This 397-nucleotide ribosomal RNA is filed under the name uncultured bacterium. RNAcentral's name for it is "partial 16S ribosomal RNA". It matches the Rfam family "Bacterial small subunit ribosomal RNA", at positions 523 to 918 of the family's 1533-position model. The record is from RNAcentral.
AUACGUAGGUGGCAAGCGUUGUCCGGAAUUACUGGGUGUAAAGGGAGCGCAGGCGGGCGUGCAAGUCAGCUGUGAAAUCCAUGGGCUUAACCCGUGGGCUGCAGUUGAAACUGUAUGUCUUGAGUGAAGUAGAGGUAGGCGGAAUUCCGAGUGUAGCGGUAAAAUGCGUAGAUAUUCGGAGGAACACCGGUGGCGAAGGCGGCCUACUGGGCUUUAACUGACGCUGAGGCUCGAAAGUGUGGGGAGCAAACAGGAUUAGAUACCCUGGUAGUCCACACUGUAAACGAUGAAUGCUAGGUGUAAGAGGUAUCGACCCCUUUUGUGCCGGAGUCAACACAAUAAGCAUUCCGCCUGGGGAGUACGGCCGCAAGGUUGAAACUCAAAGGAAUUGACGGGG